AUGUUACGACGGGUCCAUCCGACGACUUCUAUGCCUCAACCCGAACCACAAGUUGGCCUCUCCCUCUUCCAUUCUUUGGUGGAUUCAUCUAUCCCACCAGGAACAUUGCAGGGGCCUUCCAAAAUGGAGCCGCUUCUCUCUGCAAUCGUGGGUGAUCUUGUCAGCAGAGCCCUGUCCAUGGUAACCCAGAGAUACCUGCAGUCCAAGGGAGCAGAGGAGGAGAAGCUCCAGAGGCUACGGGCAGUGCUGCUAAGGAUCGAUGCCACCGUCGAGGAGGCUGAGGGGAGGCACAUCACCAACCAGGCGAUGCUCCAGCAGCUCCAGAUGUUGAGACGAGGUAUGUACAGAGGCUACUACACGCUCGACACCUUCAGAUACCGAGCGCACAGGGACAAGGCCGAUGGCGAGGUGAGCACUCGCCGUUCGCUUGCCCUGUCCAGUUUCAGACGCACCUUCUUCUCUGUGUGCGAUGCCCCAAGUAUGGACGAGGUGCUUGAUGCGGGGAGCUGCAGCAAUCUUGACAAGAUGCUCAGCAGCCUUGAGAGAGUGAUUGGUGACAUGCAGGAGUUCGUGAUGUUCUUGGCCAGCUAUCCUCGGAUCUCCCGGCAACCUUACAGCGCGUAUUUGUUUUGUGAUCAGGUUAUGUUUGGCCGGCAGAUGGAAAAAGAGACAAUUUUGAGCUUUCUGCUUUGUAGGGAGGCUGUGAGGAAUGGAAGUCUGGGUGUGCUGCCCAUAAUCGGUCCAGCGAGAGUCGGCAAGAGUACACUUGUUGAGCAUGUCUGCCUUGACGAGAGGGUGCGGAGGCGCUUCUCGUUGAUCGUCUUCUUCAGCGGGAAUGAUCUCAAAGGUGGAAACUUGGCCACUCUAAAAGGUAGUGGUGUGAUCAAGCAUCAGAACCUUGCCUCCAGCCCGCAUGGAGACUCACUGGCUGUGAUUGAGCUAGCAGGGGACAUGGACGAGGAAACAUGGAGGGGGUUGUACACCUCGGCAGCAAGCCACCUGACGCCAGGCAGUAAAAUCAUACUCACCAGCCGUUCAGACAAGAUAGCAUCAUUAGGAACGGCAGAGUCUCUUAUGCUGAAAUCUUUGUCCCAAGAAGCUUACUGGUAUUUCUUCAAGACGGUUGCAUUCGGAAGCACAAACCCUGGUGAGCAUCCUAGCAUGGCAGCCCUCGGCAUGGAGAUCGCCUUCCACAUGAACAGAUCAUUCAUGGCAGCGAACAUCGUUGCCAGCUUACUGAGAACCAAUCUUGACAUACAGUUUUGGCGCAGAGUGCUGAGAUGCUUGAGAGAUUUCGCAAGCAAGCACCUCAGCAUGUUUGGCGAGCACCCGACCAAUCUCCUACAGAAGGACCAGCCUCUGUACAUGUGGACAAUGGCCAAGACAAGCAAUGUCGUCGUGAUGCGUGAUAUUUAUGAUGAGCCCUCUCCCCAGAUCAGUGAGGUUCCCAGGAUAACGGCACAAGAUGUUUUGUCUGGUCAAGUUACGUCUGAAGGGACAUUCCAAGCAGUGGCAUGGAGGUCCAGGAUACCGCCCUGCUACACCUACUUGGCGAGCUUCGUCGUGUCACGGACAGACAAGCACGCGGUGCUCGGUAAGAAGAGGUCUAGGCAGGACAGGAUUUGA
Molecule: ribosomal RNA, 1626 nt
Filed under: Triticum aestivum (bread wheat)
Lineage: Eukaryota; Viridiplantae; Streptophyta; Magnoliopsida; Poales; Poaceae
Description: partial small subunit ribosomal RNA
Source: RNAcentral